UUGUUGGUUAAGGUAUAAUAUAGAACCUUGGCCAGAAGUUUUGGCUAAAUGGAAGACCACUACAUGUGUAAGAAUUCCCCGCUAUAACCAGAAUACAACCACAACCAUCCAAGAAUAUUUUCAAGAAUAUAAAAUUUUAGAAAAGUCCUUAGGUUAUCAAUUACUGGAAAUUGAUUUCAAUUAUCUUUAUCCCAAAAAAUCAGAAAUAUUUUUUGCCGAAAUACAUAAAAAAAAAUAUAUUAUAUUACGAUUGGCCCAAUACCGAGGCGUACUGACUCAACAUUUUCCGGAUCAAAACAUAAAUAUUUUGAAUGACGCCACUGCUGUUCUAAGUUUAUUAACACUACCGUGUCUAAUGCCAGUAGUGAUUGUUACGACAAAUAAAAAGAAAUGGAAACCGUCUAAAGUUGAAAUAGCGAACCGUUUCAUUAUUUACGUGAAAACCAGUGAAGAGAUGCAAUUGAUGUUGGAACGAAGACAGCGAAAAUAUGCGGAAACCAAACAAUUAUGUCAACCUCUAAUAAAAAUUGUUGGACCAGAUUUGAACAACCUCAAGGACUAUAUUUCCAUCGAUAACUGUACAUAUCCUUUUGAAUCGGCCUUGAAAAGUGUAAACACUUGUUUUAAAAUAAUUCAUGCAAUUGUUGCAGAAU
Long non-coding RNA from Zophobas morio, 653 nucleotides. RefSeq lists it as uncharacterized. The record is from RefSeq and is a predicted model, not a curated record. The transcript has 3 exons. Lineage: Eukaryota; Metazoa; Arthropoda; Insecta; Coleoptera; Tenebrionidae.